Molecule: small RNA, 177 nt
Filed under: Chelonoidis abingdonii (Abingdon island giant tortoise)
Lineage: Eukaryota; Metazoa; Chordata; Testudines; Testudinidae
Description: TUC338 (ENSCABG00000018110.1)
Source: RNAcentral
CUGACAGCCCUGGAAAUGAGACAGUCCUUUGCAGGAUUUAUAAAAGAACAAGCACGUUGUGGCAGGGCAAGCUUCAUGCUGUUGCUCCCACUUGUGCCUAAUGCCUCAUUCUGGAUGACCACCUCGAAGGGUGACUGGGUAGUUCAGCCUGCAUAGCCUGUUCAGUCCUUCACCUCU